GAAAUGCGAUAAGUAGUGUGAAUUGCAGAAUUCAGUGAAUCAUCGAAUCUUUGAACGCACAUUGCGCCCUUUGGUAUUCCUUAGGGCAUGCCUGUUCGAGCGUCAUCUAAACCUUCAAGCCCUGCUUGGUGUUGGGUGCCUGUCCCGCCUCCGCGCGCGGACUCACCUCAAAUCCAUUGGCGGCCCCCGCGUCGGCCACGAGCGCAGCAGAAACGCGAACUCGUGAGCCCGCCCAGGCGGCUCCCAGAAGCUACACCCACCCAGUUUGACCUCGGAUCAGGUAGGGAUACCCGCUGAACUUAAGC
This 305-nucleotide unclassified non-coding RNA is filed under the name plant metagenome. RNAcentral describes it as "partial contains 5.8S ribosomal RNA, internal transcribed spacer 2, and large subunit ribosomal RNA". The stretch from base 1 to 105 matches the Rfam family "5.8S ribosomal RNA", at positions 50 to 154 of the family's 154-position model. The record is from RNAcentral.